GCCUCGGUAGCUCAGCUGGCAGAGCGACAGUCUUGUAAGCUGUUGGUCGAGGGUUCAAAUCCCUCCCGAGGCU
Molecule: transfer RNA, 73 nt
Filed under: Candidatus Bathyarchaeota archaeon
Lineage: Archaea; Thermoproteati; Candidatus Bathyarchaeota
Description: tRNA-Thr
Rfam family: tRNA
About the family: Transfer RNA (tRNA) molecules are approximately 80 nucleotides in length. Their secondary structure includes four short double-helical elements and three loops (D, anti-codon, and T loops).
Source: RNAcentral